AACUUGUUUAUGAAACUUGUUGAAUUGAUUUUUGAACAGUGCCAGUUACAGUUAGAAAAAAGAUGUUAGUUAGCUCUUAUCAGUUAGUUAAAUGGAGUUAGUAGUUUUGGAAUAGGAAAUAUGGUUUGAUUGUUAUGUGUUAGUGUAGUUAAACUUGAAAUUUGAAUUGAUUGGUAUGAUUGUUGUAUGAAUGAAUGUUGUUUGUUAUUUGCAUUCUAGUUGUUAAGUUAAAGGGCUGCUUAUGCUAGUUAAUGAAUGAGUUGGUAUAUUAUUGUUAGUGUUUUAGGAAUUGUUGAAUUGUUGUUAGUUUAGGAAAAAUAGUAAUUGAAACAGAUUGGUUAUAGUUUGUUUGUAUUGAACUGAAUUGAAACUUAUAAGAUAGUUAGAGGUUUUGUCUAAGUCAGACACUUCGUUAAUAAUUGAAUUGUGUUAAUGCAAUGUAUUGGACUUGAUGCUUGUGUAUUGUAUGAAAAUUGUUCAUGGACACUAGUUUAUAUAUGUGUAGACGUAACAUGUUUGUAUGGCUGAACUUUUGCAAAGAGUAUGAUGCUAACUUUUCAUAUUGCUGCAGGGCUAAUGGACACUUGGCUUGACAUGACACAAGGUUUGGCAAGGCAUUUUGGACAUGAAGCAUGUCAUGACAUAUCAAGAUAUCAAUUGUUGAAAAACAUCAAGAUUCAUGAAGAAACUUGAAGACUCUGGAGGCAAAAAUGGGAUGGUUUGUAAAUAAAGGGAAGAGUUGGGAUUAGGGUUUAGGAUUAGUAGGUGACUUUGAUCAACUGUUUGACCAAAAAGUCAACAGUUUAUUAAAAGUCAGUUGUAGGCAGAAAAAUGUGUCAUCUUGUGUAUAACUUCAUGAUUUGGACUUUGUAAUAUGGUUUGAAUGUUUUUAAUAAAAACAGGCUUCUUUUUUAAAUGAAAUGUGUAACUUGUAUGUCAAGUAACAUGCUUUUACCUCCAUAGUUUGAACCUUUGAACUUGUUUUUUGAAAUGUCCUUGAAUGACUUCAUCUUUAUCGUUACCCUUGACUAAAAAUACCAAGUCAAGAAUAAAACAAUAUUCAAUAGUAAUCAUUAAGUAGGCUUCAUAUGAAAAAUGAUUACCAAAAUUCAAUCUUGACAAUGACCUCCAAAAUCAACAGUCUCAUGAUGCAAUCCAUAGUAACCAAAGACCAUAGUCCAAGAAUUAGGAUUCCGCAAGAGUUGAUCCAUAAAGAAUGAACUAACCAUCAUUGUUGUGUCAAAAUAGUCAAGACAUAACAUAAGCUUGAUCUAAUAGCUUUGUAUCACAAAUAGCAAGACCCUUUGAAUCAAUGAAGUUAUUUAAAAAAUGCAACUGUAAAUGAAUGUCUUAUGAUGGAUGAUUAGGACAUGUGAAUAUGCAGAUGCAAUGAGCCAUGGACCAUAUGAAGUGAAAGACGUAGGGAAAAUUCUGCAUUUACUUCUUUACAUUUUUAUUCAGUUUCCAUAAAUUCAAAGUUAGAACCUUGUAGCAAGAAUACAUUUCUCAAACAUCUCGCAUAAAAAUUUACUUAAGAUUUUUUCGAAUUUAAUUCUUUAAGUGAACUAAAACUUAUAAUUUAAAUAUAGAAUUUCUAAUAUAAAUAAACUUGUUGCCACUUAUUCGAUGCUUCAUUUAUACAACUAAUUUUUUUUUUAUCAUUCUUUAUCGUUGUUUCACUUUUUAGAUUUUUCCCAUAUCUAUUGCGAAAGGCUAGAAUCUAAAUAUAUGAUAAAAUACAUAAUAAAGACUUUUGAUGAUCAACAAAAAUUUUAUGGUAUAAGUUUAUUGAAGUUAAAUGAUCCAUA
This 1808-nucleotide long non-coding RNA is filed under the name Lathyrus oleraceus (garden pea). RNAcentral's name for it is "Pisum sativum (pea) long non-coding RNA (PSAT_LNC026649)". Lineage: Eukaryota; Viridiplantae; Streptophyta; Magnoliopsida; Fabales; Fabaceae. The record is from RNAcentral.